Molecule: ribosomal RNA, 459 nt
Filed under: uncultured bacterium
Lineage: Bacteria
Description: partial 16S ribosomal RNA
Rfam family: Bacterial small subunit ribosomal RNA
Source: RNAcentral
CCUACGGGCGGCAGCAGUGAGGAAUAUUGGUCAAUGGCCGGAAGGCUGAACCAGCCAAGCCGCGUGAAGGACGAAGGUGCCAAGCAUUGUAAACUUCUUUUGUCAGGGGACAAAAUCAGGCUCGAGAGCCUGACCGAGGGUACUUGAAGAAAAAGCAUCGGCUAACUCCGUGCCAGCAGCCGCGGUAAUACGGAGGAUGCGAGCGUUAUCCGGAUGUGUUGGGUUGAAAGGGUGCGUAGGGGGAAUGUUAAGUCAGCGGUAAAAGCCCGGGGCUCAACCCCGGCGGGCAGGUGAAACUGGCUGUCUUGAGAUGGCGAGAGGCAUGCGGAAUGCGCAGUGUAGCGGUGAAAUGCUUAGAUAUUGCGAAGAACUCCGAUUGCGAAGGCAGCAUACCGGCGGCGAUCUGACGCUGAGGCACGAAAGCGUGGGUAUCGAACAGGAUUAGAUACCCCUGUAGUC